This 207-nucleotide ribosomal RNA is filed under the name uncultured bacterium. RNAcentral describes it as "partial 16S ribosomal RNA". It matches the Rfam family "Bacterial small subunit ribosomal RNA", at positions 568 to 774 of the family's 1533-position model. The record is from RNAcentral.
CGCGUAGGCGGUUUGCUAAGUCGGAUGUGAAAGCCCCGGGCUUAACCUGGGAACUGCAUUCGAUACUGGUAGGCUGGAGUAUGGUAGAGGGAAGUGGAAUUCCGGGUGUAGCGGUGAAAUGCGUAGAUAUCCGGAGGAACAUCAGUGGCGAAGGCGGCUUCCUGGACCAAUACUGACGCUGAGGUGCGAAAGCGUGGGGAGCAAACA